RNAcentral lists this ribosomal RNA (253 nucleotides) under uncultured bacterium. RNAcentral describes it as "partial 16S ribosomal RNA". It matches the Rfam family "Bacterial small subunit ribosomal RNA", at positions 524 to 776 of the family's 1533-position model. The record is from RNAcentral.
UACGUAGGGUCCGAGCGUUGUCCGGAAUUACUGGGCGUAAAGAGCUCGUAGGUGGUUUGUCGCGUUGUUCGUGAAAACUCACAGCUCAACUGUGGGCGUGCGGGCGAUACGGGCAGACUUGAGUACUGCAGGGGAGACUGGAAUUCCUGGUGUAGCGGUGGAAUGCGCAGAUAUCAGGAGGAACACCGGUGGCGAAGGCGGGUCUCCGGGCAGUAACUGACGCUGAGGAGCGAAAGCGUGGGGAGCGAACAGG